RNAcentral lists this transfer-messenger RNA (397 nucleotides) under Flavobacterium sp. It matches the Rfam family "transfer-messenger RNA". From Rfam's summary of the family: Bacterial tmRNA, also known as 10Sa RNA or SsrA, is named for its dual tRNA and mRNA-like properties. Its role is to liberate the mRNA from a stalled ribosome. Lineage: Bacteria; Pseudomonadati; Bacteroidota; Flavobacteriia; Flavobacteriales; Flavobacteriaceae. The record is from RNAcentral.
GGGGUCGACUGGUUUUGACAGCAAGUCGAAUUGAACAGUAAGCACGUCGAGCCUGGUACCAUUGGCUCGUAAAUCCAAGGGUAUAAACACAUAAACGGCGAAAAUAACUACGCUUUAGCUGCAUAAUCUGAAUAAAGUAAGAUUUGCCACGUCUCGAUAAGAUCGGGAAGCUGGAUUCUCCUCAGAAGCCUUGGUUUAUGGCGACUGGCAUAGGGGAACCGUAAAAGUAAACCUAGGAAAGGUAAUGUUCUAAAUCCUUUCUGACACUGAUAGAGCUAAGCAUUAGGCCGCUGUCUUUGGCAUAGCCUACUGUCGAAAACCCAAUCAAAGACUAAACGUGUAGAAAGCUCUUUAGUUGCUUGUUUGGACCCGAGUUCGACUCUCGGCGACUCCACAC